GGGGGCGGCAGCCAAUGGCUGCGGCGCCUGCGGGACUUUCCCGGCUCCUGCCGCUGAUAGAUCGCCGCGUCGGGGGCAUUUAAACGCCGAGCGCUCCGACGGCGCGGCACGGCACGGCGCGGCACCGCGGGGCAGGGCGACAGCGGCCCCCCGGGGAGGAGGGGGAGGGUGAGGAGAGGGGGGGGAGUCAGGAUGGGCUGUCGCCCCGCCGCCACCGCCACCGGGGACCCGCCCGCCGGCUGAGAGGGGAAGGCAGAGAGACCCGGAGGAAGAGCCCGGCCCGCCGAGCCCACCGGCCGUCCCCUCCAGGCCUUGCCAACAUCCAGGAAUCUGAGCACAAAAGAAACCCGCACAAGCACGUUGCAGCCCAGUUUAGCCCAGUGGCAGAGGAGUUAAAAUGCCGGUGGAGGCUGCUGGCUUUCCGCAGGGACAGGGCUGGAGCAGAGAGAAGGACCAGAAGCAGGGGCCGAGGUUUCGCCGCGGCCGCAGCUCAGCCAAGCUGUUGUUUUAAAAGAGCAAUAAAAAUGAAUUAUGACUAAACGCCUUCUCACUUAAUGGUUUUAGACGGGGAUCCCCAGCCCCGGCAAAUACGUAAGAGGAUUUUUAUUUGUGCAUGUGUUCCUGCAAUUGAUCUCUUUGAUGACAUUCUCAUUCAUAGAAAGAGGUUGAUUUAUGAGUUUCGGAAGGAUUGCGUUCAGCCCUUCCAGCUAUAACCCACGCAUCCCGGCUCCACAACGUGUUGCAGGGCUGGGAGACAACACUCCCCUCGCACGGACGAGCAGCCCAGCCCCACAGACCCCCAGCUCCAGCCCCACUCCCCUCUGCCAUGUCCCCACAAGCUGACACACACUCUCAGGCACCCACACGCACACGGGGAGCCCCGCUCGCACCCGCCGUGGGACCCCCCCCCCGCCCCACGGAGCGGCCGAGCCCCGCUGGCAUCUGUUGCUGGGUUUUUUAGCCCAAAGGAUGGGGCUCGCCCUCUGUUUUUGGGGUCCGGCGACACCGCUAGCCGGGUGGCCGGCAAUUUGGUGGGGGACUUCGGAAAGCCCGUCUUUGCUGCCUCAAUCAGGGGGUGGGGAGGCCCGAGGAAAUCCUAACUUUAAAGUCAGGAGUUUCCUCUUUUCGUUAUCAGCCCUUCGCCUCGCAAGAAGGUUUAAAAGCACAAAAAAAAAUAAAAAUUGAAAUCUUCGGCUGUGCCCCCGCA
Molecule: long non-coding RNA, 1207 nt
Filed under: Calidris pugnax (ruff)
Lineage: Eukaryota; Metazoa; Chordata; Aves; Charadriiformes; Scolopacidae
Description: lncRNA (ENSCPUG00000010841.1)
Rfam family: HOX antisense intergenic RNA myeloid 1 conserved region 2 (bases 480-699)
Source: RNAcentral